RNA transcript from Trifolium pratense (red clover), 1893 nucleotides. It is a transcript of the gene named clustered mitochondria protein-like, with no coding region annotated. The record is from RefSeq and is a predicted model, not a curated record. NCBI's taxonomy places the organism in Eukaryota, Viridiplantae, Streptophyta, Magnoliopsida, Fabales, Fabaceae. The transcript is spliced from 7 exons.
AAACGAUCACGUGGAAGCUGUUCCAGAGUCUGCUAAUACCGAUGCUGUGGAAGUUGCAGCAGCGGGUGAAGCAACAAGUGUGAAGUCAGAGGUGAAGGAGAAUGAAGCAGCAACUGAAGGGAACCAACCAAAUCAAGGCUUGUUGGAGAUUUGAUUUAUUUGGAUGUGGUAACUCUUGAGGGAAAUAAAUAUUCUAUUACGGGAAGUACAAAAAUGUUUUAUGUCAACUCGAGCUCGGCAAACACUCUUGAUCCAAGGCCAAGUAAAGCUACUUCAGAAGCAACAACUCUUGUUACGCUCUUGCAGAAGAUUAGCCCCAGGUUCAAAAAAGCAUUCCGUGAAAUAUUGGAGGGCAGGGCUUCUGCCCAUCCUUUUGAAAACGUCCAGUCUUUGUUGCCACCUAAUUCUUGGCUUGGCUUGCACCCGAUUCCUGACCACAAACGUGAUGCUGCCAGGGCUGAAAAUUCCUUGACUCUUCUAUAUGGAAGUGAGCCAAUUGGCAUGCAAAGAGACUGGAAUGAGGAGCUGCAAUCCUGUCGAGAAUUUUCUCAUACAACUCCACAGGAGAGGAUCUUGCGUGAUAGGGCACUUUAUAAAGUGACAUCGGACUUUGUUGACGCAGCCAUUAAUGGUGCUGUUGGAGUGAUCAGUGGCUGUAUUCCUCCAAUAAAUCCAACCGAUCCAGAAUGCUUUCACAUGUACGUGCACAACAAUAUUUUCUUAGUUUUGCUAUUGAUGCUGACCUCGAGAAGCUGUCGAAGAAACACGGGGAUGGCAAUUCAAAAACAUGCUGCACAGGCACUUUGCAAAGUUCUUCUGAUAAAGCUUCUCAUAUUCGACCUCAUGGGGACAGUCCGGUUCCCAAUGGCGGCAAAACUGACGGUUCAAGUUUGGAAGAUGUUAAUAGCACAGAAACCACUCCAGACGUUUCUCCUGAAGCUCAGCUGGCUGAGAAUGAGCAAGCAACAUAUGCUUCAGCAAACAAUGAUUUGAAGGGCACCAAGGCUUACCAGGAAGCUGAUGUCCCUGGACUUUAUAAUCUUGCUAUGGCAAUAAUCGACUACAGGGGUCACAGAGUGGUAGCUCAGAGUGUUUUGCCAGGCAUUCUUCAAGGGGACAAGUCAGACUCUCUCUUGUAUGGCUCUGUUGACAAUGGAAAGAAAAUUAGCUGGAAUGAAGAUUUUCAUGCUAAGGUAAGGAGGGUGUGGAAGUUUAAUUUAGUGAUGUAGUUAGAUGAUUGAAAUCGGCGGAGAACAGAAACAGAUUUCACAAUACGAUUACUUUAUCGAUAAGAAUUCUGGAGAAUGAUUCAAAACCAGAAUAUUACACGUUGACGCAUUACAAUAAUUAUAAUUAUUGGAAAUUACACUGAAUAACAAGACACAAAUACACAACCAAUUCGAGAGCUUGGCUCUCUCCCUCCCUCCCAAUUGUCUAACACUCACAACUUAGGAUAAUCAGAACUCUGUACUGUUUCCCUUCUUAUUCUACACAUAAUAAAAGAUAGUAAAGCAGUAAUAAAUAACUUAAGCAAUUUUAAAAAUUAGAUUUAAAAAGAUAAGAUAUAACAAGUACCAAAUAAAAAGAUAUACAUAAUUUUUUUUUUUUUCGGGUCUACGGUGAAAAAGAUAAGAUAUAUACACAUAAAUUAUUAUUUUUUGAUCUAAAGAUAUACAUAAAUUUAGUUUGUUGAAACGAUAAUGCAUACGGAGUAUUAAGUUAUAAUAAAAAGAUAAGAUAUAUGAAGUUUGUUGGUUUAUCUCUAUAAAGAAGGGAUUAUUAAGUUACAAUUUAAACAACCUACUUAUUUGCUUAUAAAUAUCAAGUGAGUAUCACUGUUAAGUCAUUAUCAAUAAAUUCUCCAAUCUUUCAUCUAAAAUCCCAACAAACUCA